This 1522-nucleotide ribosomal RNA is filed under the name Salmonella enterica subsp. enterica serovar Lomalinda. RNAcentral's name for it is "bacterial SSU rRNA". It matches the Rfam family "Bacterial small subunit ribosomal RNA". Lineage: Bacteria; Pseudomonadati; Pseudomonadota; Gammaproteobacteria; Enterobacterales; Enterobacteriaceae. The record is from RNAcentral.
AGAGUUUGAUCAUGGCUCAGAUUGAACGCUGGCGGCAGGCCUAACACAUGCAAGUCGAACGGUAACAGGAAGCAGCUUGCUGCUUUGCUGACGAGUGGCGGACGGGUGAGUAAUGUCUGGGAAACUGCCUGAUGGAGGGGGAUAACUACUGGAAACGGUGGCUAAUACCGCAUAACGUCGCAAGACCAAAGAGGGGGACCUUCGGGCCUCUUGCCAUCAGAUGUGCCCAGAUGGGAUUAGCUAGUUGGUGAGGUAACGGCUCACCAAGGCGACGAUCCCUAGCUGGUCUGAGAGGAUGACCAGCCACACUGGAACUGAGACACGGUCCAGACUCCUACGGGAGGCAGCAGUGGGGAAUAUUGCACAAUGGGCGCAAGCCUGAUGCAGCCAUGCCGCGUGUAUGAAGAAGGCCUUCGGGUUGUAAAGUACUUUCAGCGGGGAGGAAGGUGUUGUGGUUAAUAACCGCAGCAAUUGACGUUACCCGCAGAAGAAGCACCGGCUAACUCCGUGCCAGCAGCCGCGGUAAUACGGAGGGUGCAAGCGUUAAUCGGAAUUACUGGGCGUAAAGCGCACGCAGGCGGUCUGUCAAGUCGGAUGUGAAAUCCCCGGGCUCAACCUGGGAACUGCAUUCGAAACUGGCAGGCUUGAGUCUUGUAGAGGGGGGUGGAAUUCCAGGUGUAGCGGUGAAAUGCGUAGAGAUCUGGAGGAAUACCGGUGGCGAAGGCGGCCCCCUGGACAAAGACUGACGCUCAGGUGCGAAAGCGUGGGGAGCAAACAGGAUUAGAUACCCUGGUAGUCCACGCCGUAAACGAUGUCUACUUGGAGGUUGUGCCCUUGAGGCGUGGCUUCCGGAGCUAACGCGUUAAGUAGACCGCCUGGGGAGUACGGCCGCAAGGUUAAAACUCAAAUGAAUUGACGGGGGCCCGCACAAGCGGUGGAGCAUGUGGUUUAAUUCGAUGCAACGCGAAGAACCUUACCUGGUCUUGACAUCCACGGAAGUUUUCAGAGAUGAGAAUGUGCCUUCGGGAACCGUGAGACAGGUGCUGCAUGGCUGUCGUCAGCUCGUGUUGUGAAAUGUUGGGUUAAGUCCCGCAACGAGCGCAACCCUUAUCCUUUGUUGCCAGCGAUUAGGUCGGGAACUCAAAGGAGACUGCCAGUGAUAAACUGGAGGAAGGUGGGGAUGACGUCAAGUCAUCAUGGCCCUUACGACCAGGGCUACACACGUGCUACAAUGGCGCAUACAAAGAGAAGCGACCUCGCGAGAGCAAGCGGACCUCAUAAAGUGCGUCGUAGUCCGGAUUGGAGUCUGCAACUCGACUCCAUGAAGUCGGAAUCGCUAGUAAUCGUGGAUCAGAAUGCCACGGUGAAUACGUUCCCGGGCCUUGUACACACCGCCCGUCACACCAUGGGAGUGGGUUGCAAAAGAAGUAGGUAGCUUAACCUUCGGGAGGGCGCUUACCACUUUGUGAUUCAUGACUGGGGUGAAGUCGUAACAAGGUAACCGUAGGGGAACCUGCGGUUG